RNAcentral lists this long non-coding RNA (726 nucleotides) under Medicago truncatula (barrel medic). RNAcentral's name for it is "lncRNA gene23160". Lineage: Eukaryota; Viridiplantae; Streptophyta; Magnoliopsida; Fabales; Fabaceae. The record is from RNAcentral.
UGGGUUUGGGCUAAAACUACGGGUUAAAAGACGCUUGUGCCCCGCAUUUUCAGAUGCACGAGGCACAUUGCUCGUGUGCUAGGCGCAUGGGUGUAUGGCAAAAGCCAUGCCCUAGGCGCAUGGAUGCCUAUCCCAUGUGCUAGGCGCAUGACUCCUCAUCCUGGGCCCAAAUUUUCCGAUUCUCCGUCGUUUUAAGUCUUCGUUUUAAAAUAACUUGCCUAAGGACUUGGGAACAUAGUUGCUCCCAUUUGUAAGUCUUUUGAGGCCUCUUGAAUCUCCAUUAUUUGUUUCCUUGAAUCUUCAUAAUUCUUUAGAUGUUCUUGAUUUGCCAAUUUUCAUGAUUUCUUCGUGAAUUACUUCAAAACCCCCUAAAACUACUACGUUUCGGGAAAGCUAGAAUUACAUACUCAAAUAUAGAAAACAUUACAAAAAUCCUGAAAUCAUAGGCAAUCAUUCUAAUACUCCUCCUUUUUGCUGCUAAAACCUAAUGAAAAUAGCAGAAAAACAUGCUAAGAAUAAUGUAAGAUGACCUGUCAUCAGCAACAUGGAAAGCUUCUCUUCUUUCAAUGGUUGGAAGGGUUCAACUAGUGAAAUAUGUUAUUCCAUCAAUGUUCGUUCAUUCUAUGUCAGUAUAUUCUUGGCCAACUAGACUGCUCAGGGAUUUAGAGAAGUAGAUCAAAAAAUUUAUCGGGAGUUCUGAUCUAAACAAAAGAAAAUCAGUCAUUG